AACGAACGCUGGCGGCAGGCCUAACACAUGCAGGUCGAGCGAGACCUUCGGGUCUAGCGGCGGACGGGUUAGUAACGCGUGGGAACGUGCCCUUCUCUGCGGAAUAGCCACUGGAAACGGUGAGUAAUACCGCAUACGCCCUUCGGGGGAAAGAGUUUAUCGGAGAAGGAUCGGCCCGCGUUAGAUUAGAUAGUUGGUGGGUAACGGCCUACCAAGUCUACGAUCUAUAGCUGGUUUUAGAGGAUGAUCAGCAACACUGGGACUGAGACACGGCCCAGACUCCUACGGGGAGGCAGCAGUGGGGAAUCUUAGACAAUGGGCGCAAGCCUGAUCUAGCCAUGCCGCGUGUGUGAUGAAGGUCUUAGGAUCGUAAAGCACUUUCGCCAGGGAUGAUAAUGACAGUACCUGGUAAAGAAACCCCGGCUAACUCCGUG
RNAcentral lists this ribosomal RNA (434 nucleotides) under uncultured bacterium. Its description in RNAcentral is "bacterial SSU rRNA". It matches the Rfam family "Bacterial small subunit ribosomal RNA", at positions 29 to 507 of the family's 1533-position model. The record is from RNAcentral.